RNAcentral lists this transfer RNA (85 nucleotides) under Bacillota bacterium. Its description in RNAcentral is "tRNA-Tyr". It matches the Rfam family "tRNA". From Rfam's summary of the family: Transfer RNA (tRNA) molecules are approximately 80 nucleotides in length. Their secondary structure includes four short double-helical elements and three loops (D, anti-codon, and T loops). Lineage: Bacteria; Bacillati; Bacillota. The record is from RNAcentral. RNAcentral also lists the same sequence under 1 other name.
GGAGAGGUACCGAAGUGGCCAAACGGGGCGGUCUGUAAAACCGUUGGGUCUCCCUUCGGAGGUUCGAAUCCUCCCCUCUCCACCA